RNAcentral lists this ribosomal RNA (253 nucleotides) under uncultured bacterium. RNAcentral describes it as "partial 16S ribosomal RNA". It matches the Rfam family "Bacterial small subunit ribosomal RNA", at positions 524 to 776 of the family's 1533-position model. The record is from RNAcentral.
UACGAAGGGUGGAAGCGUUACUCGGAAUUACUGGGCGUAAAGGGUGCGUAGGUGGUUUGUUAAGUCUGCUGUGAAAUCCCCGGGCUCAACCUGGGAAUGGCAGUGGAUACUGGCAAGCUAGAGUGCGGUAGAGGGUAGUGGAAUUCCCGGUGUAGCAGUGAAAUGCGUAGAGAUCGGGAGGAACACCAGUGGCGAAGGCGGCUACCUGGACCAGCACUGACACUGAAGCACGAAAGCGUGGGGAGCAAUCAGG